RNAcentral lists this ribosomal RNA (301 nucleotides) under uncultured bacterium. RNAcentral's name for it is "partial 16S ribosomal RNA". It matches the Rfam family "Bacterial small subunit ribosomal RNA", at positions 509 to 807 of the family's 1533-position model. The record is from RNAcentral.
CAGCAGCCGCGGGAAUACGGAGGGAGCUAGCGUUGUUCGGAAUUACUGGGCGUAAAGCGCGCGUAGGCGGUUACUCAAGUCAGAGGUGAAAGCCCGGGGCUCAACCCCGGAACUGCCUUUGAAACUAGGUAACUAGAAUCUUGGAGAGGUCAGUGGAAUUCCGAGUGUAGAGAUGAAAUUCGUAGAUAUUCGGAAGAACACCAGUGGCGAAGGCGACUGACUGGACAAGUAUUGACGCUGAGGUGCGAAAGCGUGGGGAGCAAACAGGAUUAGAGACCCCUGUAGUCCCUGUCUCUUAUAC